UGGGAGGUGGUGUAACGGUAGCACUGCGGAAUUUGGAUCCGCCGAUCCUGGUUCGAAUCCAGGCCUCCCAGCCA
RNAcentral lists this transfer RNA (74 nucleotides) under candidate division WWE3 bacterium. RNAcentral describes it as "tRNA-Gln". It matches the Rfam family "tRNA". Rfam says of the family: Transfer RNA (tRNA) molecules are approximately 80 nucleotides in length. The record is from RNAcentral. Lineage: Bacteria; candidate division WWE3.